CUGAUGAUCUUGGAUAUCUUCAACAGAUCUCUUAAAGCUGCAUAAGCAUUUGGCCUCUAUGGAUAUCCAUACAAGGCCUUGAUCUGAUCAGAAGCCUUUGUCUUACCGGGGUGCUAGCUCCUUUACAAAAAUCAUAUUUUGAUGAUUGAUAAAAAAAAAAAAUUCUCUCAAGUCACUUUUAGAGAAGAAUAAGAAUAGGAGGAUAAAGAGGAAGACGAAGAUCAAGGAGAUCCUCUCUUUUUUCUUUCUGGAACCAUGCAUAUGAUUUCUACACUAGAGAUCUAGAAAAAAAUUCAUUCUUCUCUUUUCUUUCAUGCAUGAGAGAGAACCUUUCUUUCAUCCCUUUUUACGACUUCAAGAGGAAUCUUUCUUCUCCAAAAAUCAGCACACAAGAAGGAAGACUCUUUUUCUUUCUUCAGCCCAUAAGGAAGAUUUUCUUCCUCUCUUUUAUCACGCCAACAAGAGGAACACUUCCUCUCUUUUCUCCCUGUUGAAACUUCAGCCCAAGCCACC
Molecule: long non-coding RNA, 513 nt
Filed under: Elaeis guineensis (African oil palm)
Lineage: Eukaryota; Viridiplantae; Streptophyta; Magnoliopsida; Arecales; Arecaceae
Description: long non-coding RNA (EGUI_LNC074980)
Source: RNAcentral